GGCGGGCUCUCGUUUCCACUUCUGCGUUCUGCCCGUGGCAUCGUUU
This 46-nucleotide small RNA is filed under the name Sinorhizobium meliloti 2011. RNAcentral describes it as "putative ncRNA". Lineage: Bacteria; Pseudomonadati; Pseudomonadota; Alphaproteobacteria; Hyphomicrobiales; Rhizobiaceae. The record is from RNAcentral.